This 434-nucleotide ribosomal RNA is filed under the name uncultured bacterium. RNAcentral's name for it is "bacterial SSU rRNA". It matches the Rfam family "Bacterial small subunit ribosomal RNA", at positions 43 to 524 of the family's 1533-position model. The record is from RNAcentral.
CAGGCCUAACACAUGCAAGUCGAACGCACCUUCGGGCGAGUGGAAAAUGGGUGAGUAACACGUGGGAACGUACCCUUUGGUUCGGAACAACUCCGGGAAACUGGAGCUAAUACCGGAUACGCCCUUAUGGGGAAAGGUUUAUCUGCCGAAGGAUCGGCCCGCGUCUGAUUAGCUUGUUGGUGGGGUAACGGCCUACCAAGGCGACGAUCAGUAGCUGGUCUGAGAGGAUGAUCAGCCACACUGGGACUGAGACACGGCCCAGACUCCUACGGGAGGCAGCAGUGGGGAAUAUUGGACAAUGGGCGCAAGCCUGAUCCAGCCAUGCCGCGUGAGUGAUGAAGGCCUUAGGGUUGUAAAGCUCUUUUGUCCGGGACGAUAAUGACGGUACCGGAAGAAUAAGCCCCGGCUAACUUCGUGCCAGCAGCCGCGGUAAU